AGAGUUUGAUCCUGGCUCAGGAUGAACGCUAGCGACAGGCUUAACACAUGCAAGUCGAGGGGCAGCACGGUGUAGCGAUACACUGGUGGCGACCGGCGCACGGGUGAGUAACACGUGUGCAACCAACCCCGUACCGGGAGAUAACCCGCGGAAACGUGGACUAACAUCCCAUGAGACUCUAGAGCCGCAUGGCUCUAGAUUUAAAAUUCCGGUGGUACGGGACGGGCACGCGCGACAUUAGGUAGUUGGCGGGGUAACGGCCCACCAAGCCGACGAUGUCUAGGGGUUCUGAGAGGAAGGUCCCCCACACUGGAACUGAGACACGGUCCAGACUCCUACGGGAGGCAGCAGUGAGGAAUAUUGGUCAAUGGGCGAGAGCCUGAACCAGCCAAGUCGCGUGAGGGAAGAAUGGUCUAUGGCCUGUAAACCUCUUUUGUCAAGGAAGAAUAAGGAUGACGAGUCAUUCGAUGCCAGUACUUGACGAAUAAGCAUCGGCUAACUCCGUGCCAGCAGCCGCGGUAAUACGGGGGAUGCGAGCGUUAUCCGGAUUUAUUGGGUUUAAAGGGCGCGUAGGCGGGACGGCAAGUCAGCGGUAAAAGACUGCAGCUAAACUGUAGCACGCCGUUGAAACUGUUGACCUAGAGACGAGACGAGGGAGGCGGAACAAGUGAAGUAGCGGUGAAAUGCAUAGAUAUCACUUGGAACCCCGAUAGCGAAGGCAGCUUCCCAGGCUCGAUCUGACGCUGAUGCGCGAGAGCGUGGGUAGCGAACAGGAUUAGAUACCCUGGUAGUCCACGCCGUAA
RNAcentral lists this ribosomal RNA (803 nucleotides) under uncultured bacterium. Its description in RNAcentral is "bacterial SSU rRNA". It matches the Rfam family "Bacterial small subunit ribosomal RNA", at positions 8 to 805 of the family's 1533-position model. The record is from RNAcentral.